RNAcentral lists this ribosomal RNA (61 nucleotides) under Cronobacter turicensis. Its description in RNAcentral is "partial 16S ribosomal RNA". The record is from RNAcentral. Lineage: Bacteria; Pseudomonadati; Pseudomonadota; Gammaproteobacteria; Enterobacterales; Enterobacteriaceae.
UUUAAUUGAACAGUUUGAUCAUGGUUCAGAUUGAUCGCUGGCGGCUAGCCUAACACAUGCA